Molecule: ribosomal RNA, 433 nt
Filed under: uncultured bacterium
Lineage: Bacteria
Description: partial 16S ribosomal RNA
Rfam family: Bacterial small subunit ribosomal RNA
Source: RNAcentral
AACGAACGCUGGCGGCAGGCCUAACACAUGCAAGUCGAGCGGACCCUUCGGGGUUAGCGGCGGACGGGUGAGUAACGCGUGGGAACGUGCCCUUUGCUUCGGAAUAGCGCUGGGAAACUGGGAGUAAUACCGGAUACGCCCUUUUGGGGAAAGAUUUAUCGGCGAAGGAUCGGCCCGCGUUGGAUUAGGUAGUUGGUGGGGUAAUGGCCUACCAAGCCGACGAUCCAUAGCUGGUUUGAGAGGAUGAUCAGCCACACUGGGACUGAGACACGGCCCAGACUCCUACGGGAGGCAGCAGUGGGGAAUCUUAGACAAUGGGGGAAACCCUGAUCUAGCCAUGCCGCGUGAGCGAUGAAGGCCUUAGGGUUGUAAAGCUCUUUCACCGGGGAAGAUAAUGACGGUACCCGGAGAAGAAGCCCCGGCUAACUCCGUG